AGGACGAACGCUGGCGGCGUGCUUAACACAUGCAAGUCGAGCGGAAAGGCCCUUCGGGGUACUCGAGCGGCGAACGGGUGAGUAACACGUGAGUAAUCUGCCCCUAGCUCUGGGAUAGCUCCGGGAAACCGGGAUUAAUACCGGAUACGACCACCUUAGACAUCUUUUGUGGUGGAAAGAAUUUCGGCUAGGGAUGAGCUCGCGGCCUAUCAGCUUGUUGGUGGGGUAAUGGCCUACCAAGGCGACGACGGGUAGCCGGCCUGAGAGGGCGACCGGCCACACUGGGACUGAGACACGGCCCAGACUCCUACGGGAGGCAGCAGUGGGGAAUAUUGCGCAAUGGGCGAAAGCCUGACGCAGCGACGCCGCGUGGGGGAUGAAGGCCUUCGGGUUGUAACCCCUUUCAGCAGGGACGAAGCGAAAGUGACGGUACCUGCAGAGAAGCGCCGGCUAACUACGUGCCAGCAGCCGC
This 472-nucleotide ribosomal RNA is filed under the name uncultured bacterium. RNAcentral describes it as "SSU rRNA". It matches the Rfam family "Bacterial small subunit ribosomal RNA", at positions 26 to 518 of the family's 1533-position model. The record is from RNAcentral.